Molecule: ribosomal RNA, 558 nt
Filed under: Triticum aestivum (bread wheat)
Lineage: Eukaryota; Viridiplantae; Streptophyta; Magnoliopsida; Poales; Poaceae
Description: partial small subunit ribosomal RNA
Source: RNAcentral
AUGAACUUGGCCCUAUUAGCUUCUUGGAUUAGUAGAUACUACAACUCCGAGGGCAAAAUUUGGAAUAAUAUCAUUGACUCCAAAUAUAACCCUCAGAACAGUAACAUUUUUGCUUGUUCUGCUAUUGGAGCCUCCCCUUUCUGGAAAGGGGUGAUCUGGGCAGCACAAGCUGCCAAACUUGGCUUCUCUUGGAAGGUUAGUAAUGGCAAGAGGACUCGGUUCUUGGAGGACCAUUGGUUUGGCAAUGCUACUUUGGCUACCCAAUAUUGGGAUCUAUACAACUUAGCUAAUGAACAUAAUGCCACUUUUGAUAAAAUUUGGGAUGGCCAUAACCUGAAGCUUACUUUUAGAAGAUGUUUUACUAAAGAGCAGGUAGCUCUUUGGUUUGAACUUGUAGAAAUUGCUAGUUCCAUUUGUUUGGUAGAUGAGGAUGACUCCCCUGUUUGGAAUCUGAAUUCUAAAGGGGUUUAUACAGUCAAUUCUUUCUAUAAGUUCAUUAAUUUCAGGGGGUCUUGCCUGCUACUUCUCCUGCUGUUUGGAAACUUAAACCCCCCCUAG